CGGGGCGUAGCGCAGUCUGGUAGCGCAUCUGGUUUGGGACCAGAGGGUCGUAGGUUCGAAUCCUAUCGCCCCGACCA
Molecule: transfer RNA, 77 nt
Filed under: Bdellovibrio bacteriovorus
Lineage: Bacteria; Pseudomonadati; Bdellovibrionota; Bdellovibrionia; Bdellovibrionales; Pseudobdellovibrionaceae
Also listed under: 28 other names
Description: tRNA-Pro
Rfam family: tRNA
About the family: Transfer RNA (tRNA) molecules are approximately 80 nucleotides in length. Their secondary structure includes four short double-helical elements and three loops (D, anti-codon, and T loops). Further hydrogen bonds mediate the characteristic L-shaped molecular structure. tRNAs have two regions of fundamental functional importance: the anti-codon, which is responsible for specific mRNA codon recognition, and the 3' end, to which the tRNAs corresponding amino acid is attached (by aminoacyl-tRNA synthetases). tRNAs cope with the degeneracy of the genetic code in two manners: having more than one tRNA (with a specific anti-codon) for a particular amino acid; and 'wobble' base-pairing, i.e. permitting non-standard base-pairing at the 3rd anti-codon position.
Source: RNAcentral